GCAGAAACUUAGAUGAGGAGUAUUAAGAGCCUAUCGUUUUCAGAGAUCUGCCGGAUGGUGUGAGGCAGAAGCGUAAACUCCCAACUCGCCUUGGAGUUCUUUUAUUGAAACCGGAGUAGAUAAAAGCGGGACUUCCCGUUACAGAAGAAAUGAGUGCAUCCGGAAACCGCCGGAUGAAUGAGAGUGGUACCACGGAAGUCAAAGCCUUUUCGUCUCUUAA
This 220-nucleotide non-coding RNA is filed under the name Clostridium sp. RNAcentral describes it as "T-box sequence". It matches the Rfam family "T-box leader". Rfam says of the family: Uncharged tRNA acts as the effector for transcription antitermination of genes in the T-box leader family. T-boxes are found upstream of many aminoacyl-tRNA synthetase genes and some amino acid biosynthetic genes usually in Gram-positive bacteria. Lineage: Bacteria; Bacillati; Bacillota; Clostridia; Eubacteriales; Clostridiaceae. The record is from RNAcentral.